GGGGAGCUGGUUAUAGCUUUACCUAGUUCCUAACAGCUGGGAAAACAAGCGAGCCACCCGCAGGCAGAUGCCCCCCUGCUCCGUGUGCCACCCUCCCCCAAACAGCUGCAGGAGGGGGUGGCCAAGCUGCCAUGGGAAGUGCCAUUGCGAAGUCAGGAGCAGAGUGAGUAGCCACCCUCGCAAGUGACAUGUCUUCUGGGGAUUUUUGGAAGCUUCUUCUAGAACACAGUGCAGUUGUACAGGAAGGAAAAAGGGAAUUCCCUGUACCAUUGGGAACUUUGCUGCUGCUUCUGUGAACUGUUCCAAGAGCUCCUGGAUCUCGCACUGCCAAAGUCCCCUUCUUACUUCAGUAACAGCAGAAUGACCUAAAAUUCUCCAGGGUGAGCCUGAUGACAGUUUCUAAUCUUUGUCCUGUGUGGGUGUUUACCACACACACACAAACACACACACACAAACGGUCUUCCUUAAGAUCCAGAUGCCCCCUCACACCCCCUGAGCCCAUUUCUCUGGUACCUGCUGCACAUCUACAUGAUGAACCUGUGGAAGCCAUGUUCAUGGGCAGGCCAUGUCGGCUACAGAGUCUCUGCUUUGUACAGUCACAUGAGCUAUUUUUCUCUCAAGGCUUUGCUUUUGUGUCGAAAUUUAUCAUAUUUUUUUUGCCUCAGUCCAGAUGUGAAUUUUUUUUUUCUGAAAACUUGAAGAAAAACCUUUAAGCUGUUUUGGACUUACUCAAGCAUGUAAAAAGGAUAUUUUCCACCCACAAUUCAGAUGCUUAGUAUGUUCUCAAAGAGCCCAAAUAAUUUGAAUUUAAAACUUUGAAUUGGGCCCCUUUAUGUAGUAUCUUUAAAAGGUGCCAUUUAUGAAGAAAAAUAUGGUCAUGAAAUAAAGGAUAUGGGG
This 897-nucleotide long non-coding RNA is filed under the name Heterocephalus glaber (naked mole-rat). Its description in RNAcentral is "lncRNA (ENSHGLG00100033832.1)". The record is from RNAcentral. Lineage: Eukaryota; Metazoa; Chordata; Mammalia; Rodentia; Bathyergidae.